GAACAAUAUUAAGGCAAAAAUUGCAUAUUGCCUUCUUGCGUACACGUGUCUCUGUCUGACAAGUUGACUGCUUGAUUUUGACAUUCGGAAUCCCAUCUUGCAUUCUUACAUGUACAUGCCUUUAUUUGAUAUUCAGUUUGAUUUGAUUUUGCCUGCUUCAUAUAUUCGUCUCGCUUUCGGACAUGCUGUAAUCUGAUAUACUACUUCAUCAUACUGACUAGUGGUUCCGUACAUCUUGCCUUCUUGGACCGUCAAUGUUGUAUACUUAUUGACGAAGAUAACAUCUAGCUAUCGGACAUGCUGUAAUCUGACAUACUACUUCAUCAUACUCAACUAGUGGUUACUUACAUCGUGCCUUCUUCGAGCGUCAAUGGUGUAUACUUCUUGGUGAAAACAACUUAAGCGGUUCCUUAACUAUGUGAUUGCAAGGAGCUGGGUUAUGAAAUAAUUUCAGUGCAUUCUUAAAUUCUUGUUCAGGUGGAGAUAACCCCUUUUACGGAAACACACGAACUGUACCGAGAGUGUUAAGACUACACGUCCGGUAACCGCACUAAACACCAUAUAUUUCUAUUUGAAUCCAAGUAAAAUGAGUAUAUUUUUCGAGACUCUACCUUUAAUCGGAUAUAUAAAUAGCGCGCUAUAAAUAGCCUACAGAACAGAAUUAUGUCAUCAUCUGAGUACUAGUCAAAAUAAUUACACGUUCAUACAUGUAUAUUGUUUUAUAUUUGUGACGCUGACGGGCAAUCUAAAUUGGGAUAUUGCCCAUAUGAAAAAUAUCACAGUAUUUCCUAGGAUCGCGUCAAAUUAGUUGGACCUCCGUUGCUUAUUCAAAGGAGACAUGAUAUUGAACAUUUUGAGAAAUAGCACUGUAGUCAGCAUUUGUCUCACGUGAACUGUGGAGACAUUUGGAUAUUGUACCUGAAAGUUCAUCACAAAGUGCUGGUGUUUUGAUAUCUACAAGAGCAGACGGCAACAGAAUUGGAGGUUACCCAAAUCUAAAGAUGUUGAGGAGUACAAGAAACAACAAAAAAAGCUAUGAAAAACAAAUGAAAUAAAAACAACGUGAAAUUAUAUUGAAUCAUGGCCCUGGGUUCCAGACCGUUCGACAACAACGAAAAAAAAAGGAUUUUUUUAGCUCACCAGAGCACAAAGUGCUUAAGGUGAGCUAUUGUGAAUGACCGGCGUCCGUCGGCGUGCGUCUUGCGUAAACAUUUGCCUUGUGAACACUCUAGAGGCCACGUUUAUGACCCAAUCUUUAUGAAACUUGGUCAGAAUGUUAGUCUUGAUGAUCUCUAGGUCAAGUUUGAAAGUGGGUUAUGUGGGGUCAAAAACUGUGUCAGUAGGUUAGAUCAAAGAAAAUGCUUGUGAACACUCUAGAGACCACACUUUUGACCCAAUCUUUAUGAAAAUUUGUCAGAAUGUUAGUCUUGAUAAUCUCUAGGUCAAGGUUGAAACUGGGUCAUGUGGAGUUAAAACCUAGGUCAGUAGGUUAGAUCAAAUAAAACGCUUGUUAACACUCUAGAGACCACAUUUUUAACCCAAUUUUUUUAUAAAACUUGGUCAGAAUGUUAGUCUUGAUGAUCUCUAGGUCAAGUUUGAAACUGAAUCAUGUGGGAUCAAAAACUAGAUCACCAGGUCAGAUCAAAGGAAAAGCAACAUUUGUGUACCAAUGUUUUUGAAACUGGUCAGAAUGUUAGUGUUGAUUAUCUUUAGGUCAAGAUUGAAUCUGGGUCAUGUUAGAUAAAAAAAUAGGUCAGUAUGUCAGAUCAAUGGAAAACCUUGUGAACACUCUAGAGACCACAUUUAUGACCCAAUCUUUAUGAAACUUUGUUAGAAUGUUAGUCUUGAUGAUCUCUAGGCCAAUUUCGGUCAAGAUCAUGUUGGAUCAUAAACUAGGUCACCUGGUCAAAUCAAAUGAAAAGUUUGUGAACACUCUAAAGGCCACAGUUGUGUCCCAAUAUUUAUGAAACAUAGUCAGAAAGUUUGACCUGAUGAUUUCUAGGUCAAAUUUGAAUCUAGGUCAUGUGGGGUCAAAAACUAUAAACGACAGUGUCUACUUGUAGUAGGGAGCACAAUGCCUAACUUUAUAGUGCUGCCUCACUGGAAUAUCACAUCGUAUACACGUGGCAUGAUACCCCACCCAGUCACAUUAUACUGACACCGGGCUGACCAGUCCUAGCACUAUCCUCUUAAUGCUGAACGCCUAGCGAGAAAGCUUCGAGUACUAUUUUUACGUCUUUGGUAUGACGCGGCUGGGGA
Long non-coding RNA from Mercenaria mercenaria, 2259 nucleotides. RefSeq lists it as uncharacterized. The transcript is spliced from 3 exons. The record is from RefSeq and is a predicted model, not a curated record. NCBI's taxonomy places the organism in Eukaryota, Metazoa, Mollusca, Bivalvia, Venerida, Veneridae.